GUGUCAGCAGCCGCGGUAAUACGUAGGGUGCGAGCGUUAAUCGGAAUUACUGGGCGUAAAGCGUGCGCAGGCGGUUUGUUAAGUCUGAUGUGAAAGCCCCGGGCUCAACCUGGGAACUGCAUUGGAAACUGGCAAGCUCGAGUAUGGCAGAGGGGGGUGGAAUUCCGCGUGUAGCAGUGAAAUGCGUAGAGAUGCGGAGGAACACCGAUGGCGAAGGCAGCCCCCUGGGCCAAUACUGACGCUCAGGCACGAAAGCGUGGGGAGCAAACAGGAUUAGAAACCCUCGUAGUCC
RNAcentral lists this ribosomal RNA (292 nucleotides) under uncultured bacterium. RNAcentral describes it as "partial 16S ribosomal RNA". It matches the Rfam family "Bacterial small subunit ribosomal RNA", at positions 505 to 796 of the family's 1533-position model. The record is from RNAcentral.